GUGCCAGCAGCCGCGGUAAUACGGAGGGCGCAAGCGUUGUUCGGAAUCAUUGGGCGUAAAGCGCGUGUAGGCGGCUUGGCAAGUCGAGUGUGAAAGCCCGGGGCUCAACCCCGGAAGGUCGCUCGAAACUGCCUCGCUCGAGUCCCGGAGAGGAAGGCGGAAUUCCCGGUGUAGAGGUGAAAUUCGUAGAUAUCGGGAGGAACACCAGCGGCGAAGGCGGCCUUCUGGACGGUGACUGACGCUGAGACGCGAAAGCGUGGGGAGCAAACAGGAUUAGAUACCCCCGUAGUCC
This 292-nucleotide ribosomal RNA is filed under the name uncultured bacterium. Its description in RNAcentral is "partial 16S ribosomal RNA". It matches the Rfam family "Bacterial small subunit ribosomal RNA", at positions 505 to 796 of the family's 1533-position model. The record is from RNAcentral.